GACGAACGCUGGCGGCGUGCCUAAUACAUGCAAGUAGAACGCUGAAGAGAGGAGCUUGCUCUUCUUGGAUGAGUUGCGAACGGGUGAGUAACGCGUAGGUAACCUGCCUUGUAGCGGGGGAUAACUAUUGGAAACGAUAGCUAAUACCGCAUAACAAUGGAUGACCCAUGUCAUUUAUUUGAAAGGGGCAAAUGCUCCACUACAAGAUGGACCUGCGUUGUAUUAGCUAGUAGGUGAGGUAACGGCUCACCUAGGCGACGAUACAUAGCCGACCUGAGAGGGUGAUCGGCCACACUGGGACUGAGACGCGGCCCAGACUCCUACGGGAGGCAGCAGUAGGGAAUCUUCGGCAAUGGGGGCAACCCUGACCGAGCAACGCCGCAUGAGUGAAGAAGGUUUUCGGAUCGUAAAGCUCUGUUGUAAGUCAAGAACGAGUGUGAGAGUGGAAAGUUCACACUGUGACGGUAGCUUACCAGAAAGGGACGGCUAACUACGUG
Molecule: ribosomal RNA, 497 nt
Filed under: uncultured bacterium
Lineage: Bacteria
Description: partial 16S ribosomal RNA
Rfam family: Bacterial small subunit ribosomal RNA
Source: RNAcentral